Molecule: transfer RNA, 75 nt
Filed under: Clostridiaceae bacterium
Lineage: Bacteria; Bacillati; Bacillota; Clostridia; Eubacteriales; Clostridiaceae
Description: tRNA-Arg
Rfam family: tRNA
About the family: Transfer RNA (tRNA) molecules are approximately 80 nucleotides in length. Their secondary structure includes four short double-helical elements and three loops (D, anti-codon, and T loops).
Source: RNAcentral
GUCCCAGUAGCCUAAUGGAUAAGGCGGUAGUUUCCGGAGCUACUGAUACGGGUUCGAUUCCUGUCUGGGACGCCA